This 454-nucleotide ribosomal RNA is filed under the name uncultured bacterium. RNAcentral's name for it is "bacterial SSU rRNA". It matches the Rfam family "Bacterial small subunit ribosomal RNA", at positions 340 to 786 of the family's 1533-position model. The record is from RNAcentral.
UACGGGAGCAGCAGUGGGGAAUAUUGCACAAUGGGCGAAAGCCUGAUGCAGCUAUGCCGCGUGUAUGAAGAAGGCCUUAGGGUUGUAAAGUACUUUCAUCGGGGAGGAAAAAACAAAACUAAUAAUUUUAUUUCUUGACGUUACCCGAAAAAGAAGCACCGGCUAACUCCGUGCCAGCAGCCGCGGUAAUACGGAGGGUGCUAGCGUUAAUCAGAAUUACUGGGCGUAAAGAGCACGUAGGUGGUUUUUUAAGUCAGAUGUGAAAUCCCUGGGCUUAACCUAGGAACUGCAUUUUGAAACUGAAAUACUAGAGUAUCGUAGAGGGAGGUAGAAUUCUAGGUGUAGCGGUGAAAUGCGUAGAUAUCUGGAGGAAUACCUGUGGCGAAAGCGGCCUCCUAAACGAAUACUGACACUGAGGUGCGAAAGCGUGGGGAGCAAACAGGGAUUAGAUACC